RNAcentral lists this unclassified non-coding RNA (339 nucleotides) under soil metagenome. Its description in RNAcentral is "partial contains 5.8S ribosomal RNA, internal transcribed spacer 2, and large subunit ribosomal RNA". The stretch from base 1 to 120 matches the Rfam family "5.8S ribosomal RNA", at positions 35 to 154 of the family's 154-position model. The record is from RNAcentral.
GAUGAAGAACGCAGCGAAAUGCGAUACGUAGUGUGAAUUGCAGAAUUCAGUGAAUCAUCGAAUCUUUGAACGCACAUUGCACCUCUCGGUAUUCCGGGAGGUAUGCCUGUUCGAGCGUCAUUUGUACCCUCAAGCUCUGCUUGGUGUUGGGUGUUUGUUCCGCCUCUGUGUGUGAACUCGCCUCAAAACAAUUGGCAGCCGGCGUACUUGUUUCGGAGCGCAGCACAUUUUGCGAUCCAGAUCAACGUACAGCGGCAUCCAAGAAGCCUUAUUUAACGCUCUUGACCUCGGAUCAGGUAGGGAUACCCGUUGAACUUAAGCAUAUCAAUAAGCGGAGGA